Non-coding RNA from Pelobates cultripes (western spadefoot toad), 279 nucleotides. Lineage: Eukaryota; Metazoa; Chordata; Amphibia; Anura; Pelobatidae. The record is from the annotation of a GenBank genome assembly.
GCCGACUCAUGCACGUGUGCAGCGAAUGCCGUGAAUUCAUUUAAAUGCUUCUCAAAGAAAAGCAUUACAUUCAAUACUUUCCUAUGAGCUGCAACCUCAUGUGAUCGAGUAUUACUUACUAGAUGUGUGUUGAUCCCAGCAAUGAAACAAUGUAAACAAAACAUUGCAGGGUUAAAAUGACAGGACCACUGCACCCAAACCACAUCUGGUCUGGGUGAAUUAAGUGGUUCUUUAAUGUCAACGUUUUGUACUGAGUACGAAUAUAUGCAUCUAUUCAUG